UACGAAGGUCCCGAGCGUUGUUCGGAAUCACUGGGCGUAAAGGGAGCGUAGGCGGUUUGGUAAGUCAGAUGUGAAAUCCCGGGGCUCAACCCCGGAACUGCAUCCGAUACUGCCGGACUUGAGCAAUGGAGAGGUAGCCGGAAUUCUCGGUGUAGCAGUGAAAUGCGUGGAUAUCGAGAGGAACACUCGUGGCGAAGGCGGGCUACUGGACAUUUGCUGACGCUGAGGCUCGAAGGCCAGGGGAGCGAAA
RNAcentral lists this ribosomal RNA (250 nucleotides) under uncultured bacterium. Its description in RNAcentral is "partial 16S ribosomal RNA". It matches the Rfam family "Bacterial small subunit ribosomal RNA", at positions 524 to 773 of the family's 1533-position model. The record is from RNAcentral.